GUGUCAGCCGCCGCGGUAAUACGGAGGGUGCGAGCGUUGUCCGGAAUCACUGGGCGUAAAGGGCGCGUAGGCGGUCCGGUAAGCGCGUGGUGAAAGCCCGGGGCUCAACCCCGGGUCGGCCGUGCGGACUGCGGGACUGGAGCACUGUAGAGGCAGGCGGAAUUCCGGGUGUAGCGGUGGAAUGCGUAGAGAUCCGGAAGAACACCGGUGGCGAAGGCGGCCUGCUGGGCAGUAGCUGACGCUGAGGCGCGACAGCGUGGGGAGCAAACAGGAUUAGAAACCCGCGUAGUCC
RNAcentral lists this ribosomal RNA (292 nucleotides) under uncultured bacterium. Its description in RNAcentral is "partial 16S ribosomal RNA". It matches the Rfam family "Bacterial small subunit ribosomal RNA", at positions 505 to 796 of the family's 1533-position model. The record is from RNAcentral.